This is a non-coding RNA of Ovis aries (sheep), 73 nucleotides long. The record is from Rfam. Lineage: Eukaryota; Metazoa; Chordata; Mammalia; Artiodactyla; Bovidae.
UCCCUGGUGGCUCAGACAUUAAAGAAUCUGCCUGCAAUGCAGGAGACCCUGGUUCAAUUCCUGGGUCAGGGAG